UACAGAGGCCCCGAGCGUUACCCGGAAUCACUGGGCGUAAAGGGUGUCCAGGCGGCCCUGUUAGUCUCUUGUAAAAUCUAUGGGCUCAACCUAUAGCGCGCAAGGGAAACGGCAGGGCUCGAGAGCGCGAGAGGUAGAGGGAACUCACGGUGGAGGGGUGAAAUCCGUUGAUAUCGUGGGGAACACCAAAGGCGAAGGCACUCUACUAGCGCGUUUCUGACGCUCACACACGAAAGCCAGGGGAGCGAACGGG
This 253-nucleotide ribosomal RNA is filed under the name uncultured bacterium. RNAcentral's name for it is "partial 16S ribosomal RNA". It matches the Rfam family "Bacterial small subunit ribosomal RNA", at positions 524 to 776 of the family's 1533-position model. The record is from RNAcentral.